RNAcentral lists this transfer RNA (72 nucleotides) under Candidatus Nanopusillus sp. RNAcentral's name for it is "tRNA-Val". It matches the Rfam family "tRNA". From Rfam's summary of the family: Transfer RNA (tRNA) molecules are approximately 80 nucleotides in length. Their secondary structure includes four short double-helical elements and three loops (D, anti-codon, and T loops). The record is from RNAcentral. Lineage: Archaea; Nanobdellati; Nanobdellota; Candidatus Nanoarchaeia; Nanoarchaeales; Nanopusillaceae.
GGGCCCGUAGUCUAGCGGCAUGACGCCGCCCUUACAAGGCGGAGGUCCGGGGUUCGAAUCCCCGCGGGCCCA